Molecule: ribosomal RNA, 303 nt
Filed under: uncultured bacterium
Lineage: Bacteria
Description: partial 16S ribosomal RNA
Rfam family: Bacterial small subunit ribosomal RNA
Source: RNAcentral
AGCAGUAGCCGCGGGAAUACGUAGGGUGCGAGCGUUAAUCGGAAUUACUGGGCGUAAAGCGUGCGCAGGCGGUUUUGUAAGACAGGCGUGAAAUCCCCGGGCUCAACCUGGGAAUGGCGCUUGUGACUGCAAAGCUAGAGUGCGGCAGAGGGGGAUGGAAUUCCGCGUGUAGCAGUGAAAUGCGUAGAUAUGCGGAGGAACACCGAUGGCGAAGGCAAUCCCCUGGGCCUGCACUGACGCUCAUGCACGAAAGCGUGGGGAGCAAACAGGAUUAGAUACCCCUGUAGUCCCUGUCUCUUAUAA